UCAUAUUUCCCUCCUCUAAACCCCAGUUGAUAGUGCUGUGUGAACGCCAGCGCUUCCUCGCCACUUAUUCCUAGAAAAAAUAUAUAUAUAAAAAAUAUAUAUAUUUUUUAAACCUUAACAUAUAUAUUUUUUAACCAACUCGUUGAAGCAGGAGUUGAUAUUCGAACUGAAGUGGAACGACGAGAAUGUUACGCUGCGUUUCUCUGGUUACUGUUACCAUCUGCAACGGGAAAAGCAAGCAAGGACAUGUUGAUUUCAAGCUCUAUUUUGUCAAUUAUAUAGACAUUUUAAACAACAUAUACGUAACGUACUGGUCGUAUUUUAAACGUUUCAAAUAUUUAUCUUCUAAAUUGAAACUUCAUUAGAACUUGUCAAGCUUGUUAAACUUUGCUAGCCAGCUGGUUUAGAUUCAACCCUCGAGUUAGCGUAACCAGACCCUUUUUAAAUUACGAACAAUUUCGUCUGAAAGGUAACAUUUUUUUUGUCGGAUUUCGUUACGAAAAUGAACCCCGGUGCUCCUACUUACCCCAUGGCAUCCCUGUAUGUCGGUGAUCUUCAUCAAGAUGUGACCGAAGCUCUGCUAUACGAAAAAUUCAGCCCCGCCGGGGCCAUCCUUUCCAUCCGGGUCUGCAGGGAUAUGAUCACCCGUCGUUCCCUCGGGUACGCCUAUGUCAACUUCCAACAGCCAGCUGAUGCUGAGAGGGCUCUAGACACCAUGAACUUUGACGUGAUCAAGGGUCGUCCUGUCCGCAUCAUGUGGUCUCAGCGUGACCCAUCCCUGAGGAAGAGCGGGGUGGGCAACAUCUUCAUCAAGAACCUAGACAAAUCUAUUGACAACAAGGCCCUCUACGACACCUUUUCUGCCUUCGGCAACAUCCUGUCCUGCAAGGUGGUUUGUGAUGAGAAUGGCUCAAAGGGGUAUGGCUUUGUGCAUUUUGAGACCCAGGAGGCGGCUGAAAGAGCCAUUGAGAAAAUGAACGGCAUGCUGCUCAAUGACAGGAAAGUGUUUGUGGGACGAUUCAAAUCUCGCAAAGAACGUGAGGCUGAGCUUGGUGCCCGGGCCAAAGAGUUCACCAACGUUUACAUCAAGAACUUUGGUGAAGAUAUGGAUGAUGAGAAACUGAGGGAGAUCUUCAGCAAGUAUGCCGAGUAUGGCAGUGCCAUGAGUAUCCGUGUCAUGACUGAUGACAGUGGCAAAUCCAGAGGCUUUGGCUUUGUGAGCUUCGAGAGGCACGAGGACGCCCAAAAGGCUGUUGAUGAGAUGAAUGGGAAGGAGCUGAAUGGAAAGCUCAUCUACGUGGGCCGCGCCCAGAAGAAGGUGGAGCGUCAGACGGAGCUGAAACGCAAGUUUGAACAGAUGAAACAGGAUCGCAUGACGCGCUACCAGGGUGUCAAUCUCUACGUGAAGAAUCUUGACGAUGGAAUUGAUGACGAGCGCUUGCGUAAAGAAUUCUCCCCAUUCGGCACCAUCACCAGUGCCAAGGUGAUGAUGGAGGGUGGUCGCAGCAAGGGCUUCGGCUUUGUGUGCUUCUCCUCCCCGGAGGAGGCCACCAAGGCCGUGACGGAGAUGAACGGGCGCAUCGUGGCCACCAAGCCGCUGUACGUGGCGCUGGCUCAGAGGAAAGAGGAGCGUCAGGCUCACCUCACCAACCAGUACAUGCAGAGGAUGGCCACCGUCCGGCCCGUACCCAACCCAGUCCUCAACCCCUACCAGCCUGCCCCUCCUUCUGGGUACUUCAUGGCUGCCAUCCCACAGGCUCAUAACAGAGCUGCUUACUACCCUGCCAACCAGAUAGCCCAGCUGAGACCCAGCCCUCGCUGGGCCACCCAGGGUGUGAGACCUCAACACUUCCAGAACAUGCCAGGCUCCAUACGUCCUUCCACACCCAGACAGCCCAGCUUCAGCCCUAUGAGGCCAACCAACCAGGUGCCUCGCAUGAUGUCCACGCGAAGCGUGGGCCCCCAGACCAUGGGGCCCCGCGCCCCUUCGGCCCCAGUGGGUGGAGCCCCGGUGCGUGGCGUGCCUCAGUAUAAGUACGCCACCGGAGUCCGCAACCCACAGAACCACGUUAACUCACAGCCCCAAGUCACUAUGCAGCAGCCUGCUGUCCAUGUGCAGGGCCAGGACCCUCUGACUGCCUCCAUGCUGGCCGCUGCACCACCUCAGGAACAGAAGCAGAUGUUGGGUGAGCGCUUGUUCCCGUGCAUCCAGAACAUGCACCCCAGCCUGGCUGGGAAGAUCACUGGCAUGCUGCUAGAGAUAGACAACUCUGAACUGCUUCACAUGCUGGAGUCUCCCGAGUCUCUCCGCUCUAAGGUGGAUGAGGCUGUGGCUGUGCUGCAGGCCCACCAGGCCAAGGAAUUAGUCCAGAAGACUGUCCCCAACUCUGCUGGUGGUCCGAGUGUCUGAGCCCAGGUAGGCCGAGUGUCUGAGCCCAGGUAGGCCGGGUGUCUGAGCCCAGGUAGGCCGGGUGUCUGAGCCCAGGGAUGGGGAACCUUGGAACUUCAUCUUUUAAAAAAUGAUAAUUCUGAUGAAACUUUGGAAAAAGUUAACACCAAAACAAUGCAAAAAGAGAACCUGUUCUAAAAAGGCAAGUCUUCUUUCAGCCAGGCCUAGAGAAGAGCACACUGGCUUUAGAAAAAGUUUCAAAAUAAACAUUUAAAGUGUUUUAGAAGAGAAUUCCAUAUGAUGGAAUGAGGGCUUCCAGAAAGUGUUCCCUUCUGGUGUUUUAUUCCUUUUAGAUGUAUCAAUGUUUGGGGUGUACGUGGCCAGGAUGUUGAAUAACCAGCGUUGUGAAAUGUACCUUUACCUUUGUUUGCUUGAAUUAAACUUCUUAAAGGAUU
This is an RNA transcript of Oncorhynchus mykiss (rainbow trout), 2844 nucleotides long. It is a transcript of the gene named poly A binding protein, cytoplasmic 1 b, with no coding region annotated. NCBI's taxonomy places the organism in Eukaryota, Metazoa, Chordata, Actinopteri, Salmoniformes, Salmonidae. The record is from RefSeq and is a predicted model, not a curated record.